UUCGGCGGAAUGACAAUGCCAGUUUGUGGCCUCGCUGAAAAAGAAAACUCUUAGUGUUGAUAAACGAUCUCGACUUUUCAUAAAACGAGAUGAAUAAUAAAUAAUUAUGUUCUGAACAGAAAACGUCGCCUAGCAAGUGUUUGAGUUUUGGAUGAAUGUAAGUUAUUCCAAAACCUAGCAAUCUAAGUAUUUUAUUUCUCAGGAUAUAGUCAAGGCGGGUAUUGAAAGCUGGUUGAGAUUUUGUUCCCAAGAAUCGUAAUAAAAAAAUUUAAAAUUACUUUCGGCAAGUUCUUUCCGAGAGUGUAAGCUUCUGGAGCCUCGUUAGCUUUCAUAUCGAAUUCUCGUCAUAAAACGUCGACUUGAAAUGAUUUAAAAUGCGCUAUUGGUGGCCCAACCCCCGUUUUCCCCGCAGAAACAAUCAUACGAAGCAAAGUUGUAAAAGGAUGAAAAUUGUUCGACAUUACACCAAAAAGGUCUGUAAAACAAGUCAUUUGCAUGACUGGGACCGGUUCCUCGCAAAACGUAGUACGAAACCAUGCAAAUACAUUUUCAAGAAAUAGACGGGGAGACCACAUAUACCACUAUUUAAGACAGGGAGACUGUCUGAAACUGAAUUAUUACCAGAAUCUAAGGAAUCACUGAUCCGCGUAACCUUCCAUGGCCAAAUUGAAGAAUGAGUUUUAAAAAUUUUUAGUCAACCUCGUCAGUUGAUAGAAGAACUUAUCCCACAGUGAAACAAACAUUAAUACGCCUUAUGACUGAGGAGGUUUAAAAUAAGAGAUGGUUUGCUCUGAGGAUCCUUCUAUUAAAAUUUGACAGCUAUUUCUCAUGGUUUCCAGGUUUAAAGUUUGUUCAAAUUGUUUAUUCUUCGGCUCCACUGAGUGAGAAAGCAAACAAUCAGUGAUCCAGUGCAGAUUCACUGAACAAAGAUCAAAUUCACUGCAUCUAAAUUAAAUGAAAAAACAAUUCUUCAUCUUCAGUGUAGCGAGAAAUUACCAUAGGACAUUUGCCUCGAAAUCUUUCGCGAAUUGUCGAUCACAAAAUGUUUAGGCGCUGACCGCUUAAAUCGGUAUUAAAUUUCUUAUUACAAGCUGCGAAAAAUUCAGAAAUGUUCGUUAAAAAGUCCGAAGAUUUCCUUUCAUUAGCUUAUCGGCAAGGAAUGUUUCCACCAGAAGCAGGGAAAACCAUUGGGCGUGAAGUCAAUAAAAAUACCGCACGCUGAUUGGCUGAUUUCGUCAAACACUUGUCACGAUUUAAAAAUAACUCGAAAAUUACGUAAUGCGUUUUGGUGCUCUCCCAGCGCGGGAAUCUGAGAAUCUCGAAAAGCGUGUGGCGUUCUCGCGAAGUUUGUUCAAGAAUCUUGCUUUUUUCAAGUGGUUUGGAGAUUAUUAUGGUGAAACCAAGCAUUGGAGUUGGUUGAUAACAAAUCUUCUCUCGCGCUGGUGAAGUUAAGCCCCAUCCGGCGUAAUUGUUACACCUUACCAAUGCUCUAUGUUGGAAUUUACACAACAUGCCUACAGCCUUCGAACACGGAUCUUAUUUUUAGUGUUUCUUGCAUUCUUCGUGUCCACGGGACUCACCGAUACUCAUUCGAACGCGUGCACGGACGAGCAAUCGACCAGAAACAGGAAGUUAUUCAAUUUCCGAAAGUUUGGCAACGCUUCUGGGCUGGAACAGUGUGUGGAUUUCUGUUGCAGAGAUGACAUAUGCGAGCUGGCAAUUUUUUCGCGCGGAUUUCACUGUUAUGGUGUGUCGUGCGACGAACCAGAACUUUGUCAUAAAAUAUUGGAUCGCUUGUUGAUGGAAGAUGAAAGGCAACUGGUACGGAGUACGAGAAAUGCAGG
Long non-coding RNA from Orbicella faveolata, 1844 nucleotides. NCBI's taxonomy places the organism in Eukaryota, Metazoa, Cnidaria, Anthozoa, Scleractinia, Merulinidae. The record is from RefSeq and is a predicted model, not a curated record.